CUUAGAUCGUACCUACUACAUGGAUAACUGUAGUAAUUCUAGAGCUAAUACAUGCCACUAUGCCCUGACCCGCAAGGGAACGGGUGGAUUUAUUAGAACAGAACCAAUCGUGUUGUGGCUUCGGCUGCUUCCGUUGCACUCUGUGAUGACUCUGGAUAACUUCACUGAUCGCAGUCGGCCUUGUGUCGGCGACGGAUCUUUCAAAUGUCUGCCCUAUCAAUUUUCGAUGGUAGGUGACCUGCCUACCAUGGUGAUAACGGGUAACGGGGAAUCAGGGUUCGAUUCCGGAGAGGGAGCCUGAGAAACGGCUACCACUUCCAAGGAAGGCAGCAGGCGCGCAAACUACCCAAYCCCGGCACGGGGAGGUGGUGACGAAAAAUACGGAUACGGGACUCGAAUGAGGCUCCGUAAUUCGAAUGAGUACAAUUUAAAUCCUUUAACGAGGAUCAACUGGAGGGCAAGUCUGGUGCCAGCAGCCGCGGUAACUCCAGCUCCAGAAGCGUAUAUUAAAGUUGUUGCAGUUAAAAAGCUCGUAGUUGGAUCUGGGUCGUAUGGCUACGUUCCGUUGCUCGUAUUCUGGGCUUGGUUUCGGCUAGGUCUGGUUUGCGGGUCGGUGUUGUGGCUGUGCAGCCUUUAUGCCGUGUCUGUAUUAACAGGUGCCGACCUAAUCAAUGAGCUUGUCUUGUCGGUUGGUUGGCAUGCUCUUUGAUGCCUUUGAACGGGUGUCGGGGGCGGAC
This 737-nucleotide ribosomal RNA is filed under the name Trematoda environmental sample. Its description in RNAcentral is "SSU rRNA". The record is from RNAcentral. Lineage: Eukaryota; Metazoa; Platyhelminthes; Trematoda.